GAGGCCCGAUGCCGUAUCCUGCCGCCCGUUUUACCCGCGGGAAAGCCGAGGCCCGGUGCUGUAUUCUGCCGCCCAUUUUACCCGCGGGGAAGCUGAGGCCCAGUGCUGUUUAAUAUCUUACUCAUGUUCACUUGAUGAGAAAGUGACAGAUCUGAGACAAACCCAGUUCUAGAGGUUAUGACACCAGCCAUGGAAGAGCAGAGAGGCCAAUGAGGUGGGGAGGUUGGAAACAAAAGGCCUUCUCCACCCCAGCUUGACCAACCCAAAAGCUGGAAGGCAAGGAAGACCUAGAUCGACAGAAAAGAAAUGAGUCAACGAUGGUGCAGAAAGGGACCAGCUUGACGAAGCUUCUGCUUUUGUGACUGUCUCCUAAUGUUUGAGAUUCCAAAUACGAUUUCUGUGGAGAAAACAAAAAAGGACUCUGUUUUUAAUUCAAAAGGGAGAAGUGAAAUUCUACCUCACUUUUUUAAAAGAAGAGCCUGGAAUUGGCCUAUCCGUCUUUUUCCCCGUUGGAUCACAGAGCAGAAAGGAAGGUGGGCGUUUGUGUUCUGGGUGUUGUCCACGCUGGACGUGCCAGCAUCUCCCACUGAGCCAGAUGUUCCAGGGCUAAGGCCAGUUUCAUUUGAAGGCACAGCCUUACUAUAUCAUAUUAAUCUGAUGCCAAGUUUUUGGAUGUUAUGAGCAACCACCUCAUUUAUUUUUUGUGGUUGUUUAACCACAAUGAGUAAGGUGAGAAAACUGUGAUGCGGUCGACUGGCACCUAGCAUUGCCCCCAUCUGGAACAUCUGCAGCCUAGAUCUGUUCUGAUGAAGUAGAAGCCGCAGAUCUUAUCCUGAAACAGGCCAGGUGCAAGUGUCCUCUUAGAAGGGAUCAACCAUGGGAUGCGGCAUUAAGAGAAGAGAGAAGGACAUCCUUACAACUGUGCCUUUCUUUCAACUCAGUCGUGCGCAUUAGGCUUGUAUCAGUUAAAGUGCAGGCAAGAAAUUUCAAGCAGAAAGGGAGUCAGGUGCUCAUAGCAUUGCUGGCAGAAUUGAGAGCAGCGGGAGCCAUGGGAUGGGGGUGCUGCCUGGAAAUCAGGAAACUGGAGAAGCCUGCUGGAACCUGCUGAGGAACCCAUCACUGCAGCAAGAGACUGAUGGUGGACUGCAGGGGCCAGGAAGGUGCAGGAAGCCCCUGCUGCUGCAGGAGAAAGGAUGAAGGAUGGUUAUCUUCCACCUUCCAAAUCUCACAGGAACACCUCUUCUAGGUGGAAUCCAAACCAGAUUCCUUCUGGAAAGGGAUUCUGGAAAGUGUAGUUCUUAUGCUUCCAGCCUCUGAGAUAAGCAAGGACAAUUGCUGGAGGCGAGGGUGUCGCUGAAUACCAAGGAAGGAUAGCAGGUGUAGUUGCCCACAUGGCCACUCAGCAUCCACAUGGACAUCCCACCCAUGUUAAUUUCCAAAGAGCCAUCACAGAAACAUCAUCAUGCUUCCUCACAAAGAAGAAAUGCUCACCUCCACCCCAAUAGAAAGGGUCCAGGUAUCCAUCUCUGAGUGAUGGUCACCCUCCAUAUUCAGUAAAAAACACCCUCGGAUAGACUGUGGUUGAAAGACUAAACCUUUAGGUUAGCCACAGUCAAUAUAUCUUAUAUAAAAUAAGAGAGGCGGGGAGAGCAGGGGAAAGAGAUACUGGGUUAUGUGUGUAAAAACAUACACAAUAAAGCAAACAAGAAA
Molecule: long non-coding RNA, 1710 nt
Organism: Homo sapiens (human)
Lineage: Eukaryota; Metazoa; Chordata; Mammalia; Primates; Hominidae
Gene: MIR646HG
Product: MIR646 host gene
Source: Ensembl